AGGUCCUGAUUUAAGAUUGAAGGAAAGGAAGACUCUUUCUGGCAGUUGGAAGAAACGGGGAGUGACCGUUAGGUGAUACCUACGGUUCCAAAGUACCCGGCAAACUUCACCAAGUACAAGACCUCCGACGCCUCCAAACACAGAGCGACACCCAGAUCAAAGGCUCCGUGGCGACUGCCGAAGGAUGAAAAACGGAUACACAUCUCCGACGUCGUCAUCUCCGCCGUCGCCGCCGUCGCCUCUUCCGGUCAGCGUAGGAGCUGGCAACCGCAGCUACUUCUUCUCCUCCUCGCCGUCUCCGUCGCCGCCCUUCUCCUCCUCUCCGUCGCCCAAUGUCUCCGCCGACAACCUGCCGCUUCUCCUGCAUCGCCGGCCCGCCCCCUCCGCCUUCUCCCUCGACCGACCAGACCUCCCCGAAGAUGAUCAAUCGGGGUCCGGCAGCUCGUGCCUAAGACAAUGGUUGGAAUGGCUGGUGUUGAGAUGCUGCAGUUGCUCAUCUUGGUUGGCCUGAAACUUCCGCCGGCCGGUAUCGCCAUUGAAGCGCCGCCCAAGCUACUAACAGCUGGAUCGAGCGAGCUAGCUAGCUACUACUUCAUGUUAAGAUGAUCAUCAUCAAUAAUAUUGUCACCAACACUGUAACACUUUAUAGGCCAUCAAUCAAGUUGCAAGUGAUUCAUAUGUGCUUGGCGAUUCUAAAAUAUAGAUUUCGUUAAUGUUACAUGAAACAAAGUGAGAUCAUUUCAAUC
RNA transcript from Diospyros lotus (date-plum), 746 nucleotides. It is a transcript of the gene named early nodulin-20-like, with no coding region annotated. The record is from RefSeq and is a predicted model, not a curated record. Lineage: Eukaryota; Viridiplantae; Streptophyta; Magnoliopsida; Ericales; Ebenaceae. The transcript is spliced from 3 exons.